AUCAUUAUUGAAAUAAACCUGAUGGGUUGUUGCUGGUUCUCUAGGGAGCAUGUGCACACCUUGUCAUCUUUAUAUCUCCACCUGUGCACUUUUUGUAGACCUUUUCAGGUCUAUGUUGCCUCAUUUUACCCCAAUGUAUGUCAAUAGAAUGUUGUGCCUAUAUAUAAUAUAUACAACUUUCAGCAACGGAUCUCUUGGCUCUCGCAUCGAUGAAGAACGCAGCGAAAUGCGAUAAGUAAUGUGAAUUGCAGAAUUCAGUGAAUCAUCGAAUCUUUGAACGCACCUUGCGCUCCUUGGUAUUCCGAGGAGCAUGCCUGUUUGAGUGUCAUUAAUAUAAUCAACCUUCUCUUGUUUUGAGAAUGGUUUGGAUGUGGGGGGUUUGCUGGCCUCUCUCAAAAGGUUCAGCUCCCCUGAAAUGCAUUAACAGAACAACCUUUGCUCAUUGGUGUGAUAACUAUCUACGCUUAUGAAUAUGAGGGGCAGUUCAGCUUUCUAACGGUCUUUGGACAAUUCAUCAUUAAUGUGACCUCAAAUCAGGUAGGACUACCCGCUGAACUUAAGCAUAUCAAUA
RNAcentral lists this ribosomal RNA (571 nucleotides) under uncultured Cortinarius. RNAcentral describes it as "eukaryotic LSU rRNA". The stretch from base 175 to 328 matches the Rfam family "5.8S ribosomal RNA". Lineage: Eukaryota; Fungi; Basidiomycota; Agaricomycetes; Agaricales; Cortinariaceae. The record is from RNAcentral.